This 1647-nucleotide long non-coding RNA is filed under the name Homo sapiens (human). RNAcentral's name for it is "novel transcript, antisense to CNKSR2". Lineage: Eukaryota; Metazoa; Chordata; Mammalia; Primates; Hominidae. The record is from RNAcentral.
UUUUUUGUUUUUUUUUUUUUUUUUUUUUUACAUAUACAAAAUCCCACAAAUUUAAUGUGCGUCAAUAUCCAUGCAGUAAAUAAAUGUUUUUACAAAUAGAGUUCUUUUUAAAUGAUAAAAAUAUUACACUGGACCCAAAAUUCCAUACAAACAUUAAUACAUGAUUUCUCAUCCAUUUUGACUAAAUAUAGGAUUACUGAAAAUGUGCUGUAGAAAGGCCACUCUCCUGUACAGUUGUGCAAAGUCUGCAAAACGAUAGUGAUUCAAUGGUGGUUUCAAAAGCAAAGAAAAAGAUCCCCGCUGUGGAGUUUUUACUUUCUCCUCUACAGCAAAAAUAUUCACUGGCAUAUAUCUGAACUCUUAAAGAUGAAAGUACAUUCACUGAGCUGUACAGGCAACAGUAUAAAGCUGAUUAGAAGUAGAUUUUAGGAUAUAGAAUAGUAAAGGAGGUUCCCUUUCUCCUCCUGAAAAAAACAGCAAAUUGUGACUUGUACAUUAUGCAGCCAGACACUAAAAAGCAGCACAGUCAUUUUCAUGCUGUGAUCACUUUCAAAAACAAGACGCUUAUAAAUGGAAAUAUAUGAAGAGGACUUUUCCUUAGACUUCAUCCACUCUAUAGAACAAUUCAUGAAGCCAGGAAAAAAACCUCUAAAUUGUUUCUCUCAUAAUUCAAUGUGACAUCUCUUUGAAUGACCAUCACCUGCUUGCUCCUUAGAAGGGAAGUACAUUUUUAUUUUUCAGUGUUGUUUUUUAUAACACACAUCAGCCUGAAACUAAACAUAUUGUACUUCCCUACCUGAAGUAUAAUUACCUAAGUUUAAUUAGUGGACUAGGGGAAAAUUGGAAACUAAGUGGAAAGUUGAUUCAUUUCAGUUUAUACCUUGUUGUCUUUUAAGAGUUGGAGUUUAAAAACAUGAGUUUGGGCUGAAAUUUAUAUAUAUAUAUAGCUGUUAGCUGCCUUUCUGGGUGUGUUAAGUCAGUUUUUAAAAAUCCCCUCUCAAAUUCUUCUGUACACAAUCAGCAUCUCAUCACUACAAAAAUAAAGGAAGAUUUAAACCAAGAAAAUAAAGCAGCUCUAUCUUCAAUUUUGGUCUUAGUUACAAAAACAUCUUACAAAGCUUUGCCCUGAUACACCAAGUGUUCUCAUAGAUUUGGAAUAAUAUUUCCAUUAACUUAGCUUUCACAAGUUAAUAGACUAUUAAGACGAAUAUUAGAUACCUGAACUUUUCUUAUGUCGAUGCUCUUCUAUUUUGCUUAGCUCUUGUAUGCGCAUCUACAUUUCACAAAAAUAAAACUACAGCAUUAAACUUUGUGCAAUGUUUAAGAAAAUUCUUAGAACAUUUUAAUAAAUAUAAAAAAGGUUUAAAUUCUUUCCCACCCACAAGGAUGUCUGCACCUGAAAAAAUGUGAUUUACUUUUGAAGUCUUGUUUAUAUAAAAUUAACUUAAAGGGAGAAAAGAUGACCAUAGAUAGAAAACUGCCUUUUGUGGUUUUACUACUUGAAGACCACCUGUAUUUAGAAUUGUUUGCAAAAGUUAAUUUUAAGUCAUUAAAGACAGUUGAUUUUGCACAUGGUAAACAUAAGCUGAGCACUGUUGCAUAUAAAAUAUACAAAUGCUCAUUAAAGAUAGUGGUAUUGUGACCAUA